GGGGGAUUAGCUCAGCUGGGAGAGCGCUUGCAUGGCAUGCAAGAGGUCAGCGGUUCGAGCCCGCUAUCCUCCA
RNAcentral lists this transfer RNA (73 nucleotides) under Planctomyces sp. RNAcentral's name for it is "tRNA-Ala". It matches the Rfam family "tRNA". From Rfam's summary of the family: Transfer RNA (tRNA) molecules are approximately 80 nucleotides in length. Their secondary structure includes four short double-helical elements and three loops (D, anti-codon, and T loops). Lineage: Bacteria; Pseudomonadati; Planctomycetota; Planctomycetia; Planctomycetales; Planctomycetaceae. The record is from RNAcentral. RNAcentral also lists the same sequence under 12 other names.